This 639-nucleotide ribosomal RNA is filed under the name uncultured organism. Its description in RNAcentral is "bacterial SSU rRNA". It matches the Rfam family "Bacterial small subunit ribosomal RNA", at positions 775 to 1413 of the family's 1533-position model. The record is from RNAcentral.
AGAUUAGAGACCUGCGUAGUCCUAGCCGUAAACGCAUGCUUGCUAGCUGCAUGAAUCUACCUUCGGGUGGUAUCGUGUGGCGAAGGUAACCCGUUAAGCAAGCCGCCUGGAAAGUACGGCCGCAAGGCUGAAAUUCAAAGGAAUUGGCGGGGAGGCACACAACCAGUGGAACAUGUGGUUUAAUUCGAGACUAACCGAAGAACCUCACCAGGGUUUGACAUGUAGCUGCACGUCUUAAGAAAUUAAGACUCUCUUGAAGGUGCUACACAGGUGCUGCAUGGCUGUCGUCAGCUCGUUCCGUGAGGAGUGCCCUUAAGUGGGACAACGAGCGCAACCCCUAUUACAUGUUAGAAAUGUCAUGUAAGACUGCCUUGCCAUUUGGCGGGGAGGAAGGAGGGGCAGACGUCAAGUCCGCAUGGUCCUUAUGCCCUGGGCUACACACAUGUUACAAUGAGUACGGCAAUGAGUCUGUCGCGAGCACGUAAGUGUAAGCUAAUCUCUUAAAUGUACUCUCAGUGGGGAUUGAGGUCUGCAACUCGACCUCAUGAACACGGAAUUGGUAGUAAUCGCGGGUCAGCUAUACCGCGGUGAAUACGUUCUUGCCUCUUGCACACACCGCCCGUCAAACCAGCAAAGUCG